RNAcentral lists this ribosomal RNA (253 nucleotides) under uncultured bacterium. Its description in RNAcentral is "partial 16S ribosomal RNA". It matches the Rfam family "Bacterial small subunit ribosomal RNA", at positions 524 to 776 of the family's 1533-position model. RNAcentral also lists the same sequence under 1 other name. The record is from RNAcentral.
AACGUAGGACACAAGCGUUAUCCGGAAUUACUGGGCGUAAAGCGCGCGCAGGCGGGUCAACAAGUCAUGCGUGAAAGCUCCUGGCUAAACUGGGAGAGGUCGGAUGAGACUGUUGGUCUGGAGGGCGUCAGAGGAGUGUGGAAUUCCGCGUGUAGUGGUGAAAUGCGUAGAGAUGCGGAGGAACACCAGUGGCGAAGGCGGCACUCUGGGGCGCACCUGACGCUGAGGCGCGAAAGCAUGGGUAGCGAACGGG